This 397-nucleotide unclassified non-coding RNA is filed under the name soil metagenome. RNAcentral's name for it is "partial contains 5.8S ribosomal RNA, internal transcribed spacer 2, and large subunit ribosomal RNA". The stretch from base 1 to 120 matches the Rfam family "5.8S ribosomal RNA", at positions 35 to 154 of the family's 154-position model. The record is from RNAcentral.
GAUGAAGAACGUAGCGAAAUGUGAUAAGUAAUGUGAAUUGCAGAAUUCAGUGAAUCAUCGAAUCUUUGAACGCACCUUGCGCUCUCUGGUAUUCCGGAGAGCAUGUCUGUUUGAGUGUCAUGAACUCUUCAACCUACCGGUUUCUAGUAAAUCGGAUCAGUGUUUGGAUUCUGAACGCCUGCUGGCCUUUAUUGGCGAAGCUCGUUCGUAAAUGAUUAGCAUCUCAUAUUCGAAAAUCGGAUUGACUCAGUGUAAUAGACUAUUCGCUGAGGACGCUCUUUCGGGAGUGGCCGAGUUUUGUAAAGUAGAAGCUUCUAAUUCUAUUAGUCAACUUUAGAUUAGACCUCAGAUCAGGCAGGAUUACCCGCUGAACUUAAGCAUAUCAAUAAGCGGAGGA